This 290-nucleotide ribosomal RNA is filed under the name uncultured soil bacterium. RNAcentral's name for it is "partial 16S ribosomal RNA". It matches the Rfam family "Bacterial small subunit ribosomal RNA", at positions 26 to 339 of the family's 1533-position model. The record is from RNAcentral.
AGAACGAACGCUGGCGGCAUGCCUAAUACAUGCAAGUCGAACGAACUCUUCGGAGUUAGUGGCGCACGGGUGCGUAACGCGUGGGAAUCUGCCCUUGGGUUCGGAAUAACAGUUGGAAACGACUGCUAAUACCGGAUGAUGACGAAAGUCCAAAGAUUUAUCGCCCAGGGAUGAGCCCGCGUAGGAUUAGCUAGUUGGUGAGGUAAAGCGUCACCGAAGGACGACGAUCCUUACGCGUGGUCGUGAGGAGGAUCGUAUCACGCCACACGUAGGGACGUAGAGACGACCGG